GUAUCUAGAAAUAAGUCUAUAUUAUUGUUGUGGAAUAUGCUUUUGGUUGUGCUUGAAACAACUUUAAUUUAGUUAAUUUGCAUAAAUAUAAUGAUUGUAUGUCUUCGUGUUCGUUUAUUAAAAGUGUUAAAAACAAUUGGAAUAAAUCAAUCAUUGUAGUCUGAUGAAGAAAUACCUUACAUACGUUCUAUAGUGCGUCGCGGUAAAACCUUUAGAAUGGAGAGCCUCAUGUGAACAUUGUAAGGGAUAUAUAUUUUGACAGCAGUUACACAUGCUAUAUGGCAUCUUUCAAUGCGGCAAUUUGACUUAAGCUUUAGAAGUCGUUUGCUAAACUUUAUUAAGACUUGUUAGGGUUUCUAGAUCUCUGAGAACGUGUUUGCUAAUAUAUUGUUAAUAUGGUGGUCCUAUGAAAAAUAUGGGCGACCAGGUUCAACGACGAUUGCGAAAACCUCAAGGAAGAGACAGUUCUUCUUCGAACAGGAAGGCUAUCUACGUUGAGAGAAGAGAGAAACCAACACUUAAAAUUGGUGACAAAGUCAGCCGACGGUCAGACAGGUUGGGUUUUUACAUGGAUCCCGAAGACGAAAGAAGGUUGUAAGACAACGAAAUAGAAGAGCCGAUUUCGCAUACACAGUCAGACUGCUGUGGCUGCUGCGCCAUUCUCUGAGGACACGCAAUCCAGUGAGCAUCGUUCUGUGAAAUCUGGGCUUCAUGUAUAUCCGUAAAGUGCCGACCAGAUUAGCCUGUGCAUUCUGAAGUCCGGCUGACACUUGACGAACAUGAAUUAAGCCCAAAUUUCCCAGAACACAACUAAAUGGAAGGCUUUUUACCGAUCGAGGAUCAUUCCAUGCAAAUAUUUCACCACGUCUCCUCAAAAGCGUGUCAAGCGUUGCAAAA
Molecule: long non-coding RNA, 897 nt
Organism: Dreissena polymorpha
Lineage: Eukaryota; Metazoa; Mollusca; Bivalvia; Myida; Dreissenidae
Exons: 3
Source: RefSeq, a predicted model, not a curated record